UUUCAGAGACGUGCAGGAUCUGUCCUCUGACAUCCGUAUUCAGAACCAGGCCGUUCUGCUCAUCAGACUCCUUUGCACCAUCUGGAUUUGCUGAGAAAUGAUUUUGCAAGAAAAAAAGCUGGGGGGAGGAUCAUUACUCAGCUGUUGGCAGGUAACUGCAUCUUUAACUGUGACCAGAGUUUGUGCUCAGAGCAGCCUCGUGCUCCACAGCAUCCAUGGCCUUGUGUUCCUCUGUCUGCUUGCUUUCUGCCUGCUUCUGCCCGGAGCUGCCCCGUGCCUUUCCCUGAAGGAGAAGCCAUCCUCACAGGCUGCUGGUUACAGCUACGGGAAUGCUGCACAAACACCAGAGCUCCUUGCUCUCCUUGCUGUCUGAUCCUAGCACCACCUCACUGAAGGUCAGCAGGGUACAGGGCUUCUGAUGGGAGGUUGUAGAAAUCCUUGCACUUUGUAGACCAGUCAAACCUUUCAUUGCAGAUGUGCACUCCCCCAAACUGCUGUGCAAAAUAAGAGAACCGUGUUUUUCAUGCAUUUGGCAGCAUGAGGAGAAUGUUUUCUUCUGUGCAUUAAUAUAGCCGAAGUGGUGAUUUUGCUGCCAUGUGACCUGUUGAUUUCAGCACAGUGCAAGGCAAAUUUUGUGCCCCCUGGCCCUUUGCAGCCUCGAGUCUGUGAUGACCGUGUAAAUGGAGGGCUGGAAACCUCUGUGUAGCUCAGCAAAGUGGAGGAGCCUG
Molecule: long non-coding RNA, 728 nt
Filed under: Anas zonorhyncha (Eastern spot-billed duck)
Lineage: Eukaryota; Metazoa; Chordata; Aves; Anseriformes; Anatidae
Description: lncRNA (ENSAZOG00000016476.1)
Source: RNAcentral